Molecule: ribosomal RNA, 113 nt
Filed under: Oryzias melastigma (Indian medaka)
Lineage: Eukaryota; Metazoa; Chordata; Actinopteri; Beloniformes; Adrianichthyidae
Source: RNAcentral
GCUUACGGCCACACCCCCCUGAGAGCUUCUGAUCUUGGAAGCUAAGCAUGGCUGGGGCUGGUUAGUACUUGGAUGGGAGACCGCCUGGGAGUGGCCAAUGACCCCUGCAAGUC